CUAGUGGCGCACGGGUGCGUAACGCGUGGGAAUCUGCCCUUUGGUUCGGAAUAACAGUUGGAAACGACUGCUAAUACCGGAUGAUGACGAAAGUCCAAAGAUUUAUCGCCAGAGGAUGAGCCCGCGUAGGACUAGCUAGUUGGUGUGGUAAAGGCGCACCAAGGCGACGAUCCUUAGCUGGUCUGAGAGGAUGAUCAGCCACACUGGGACUGAGACACGGCCCAGACUCCUACGGGAGGCAGCAGUGGGGAAUAU
Molecule: ribosomal RNA, 255 nt
Filed under: uncultured bacterium
Lineage: Bacteria
Description: partial 16S ribosomal RNA
Rfam family: Bacterial small subunit ribosomal RNA
Source: RNAcentral